CAAUGCAAGUCGAACGGUAUGGCCUUCGGGUACACGAGUGGCGAACGGGUGAGUAACACGUGGGUGAUCUGCCCUGCACUUUGGGAUAAGCCUGGGAAACUGGGUCUAAUACCGAAUAGGACUCCGGACUUCACGGUCUGGGGUGGAAAGCUUUUGCGGUGUGGGAUGGGCCCGCGGCCUAUCAGCUUGUUGGUGGGGUAAUGGCCUACCAAGGCGACGACGGGUAGCCGGCCUGAGAGGGUGUCCGGCCACACUGGGACUGAGAUACGGCCCAGACUCCUACGGGAGGCAGCAGUGGGGAAUAUUGCACAAUGGGCGCAAGCCUGAUGCAGCGACGCCGCGUGGGGGAUGACGGCCUUCGGGUUGUAAACCUCUUUCAGUAGGGACGAAGCGUGAGUGACGGUACCUACAGAAGAAGCACCGGCCAACUACGUGCCAGCAGCCGCGGUAAUACGUAGGGUGCGAGCGUUGUCCGGAAUUACUGGGCGUAAAGAGCUCGUAGGUGGUUUGUCGCGUUGUCCGUGAAAUCCCACAACUUAAUUGUGGGCGUGCGGGCGAUACGGGCAGACUAGAGUACUGCAGGGGAGACUGGAAUUCCUGGUGUAGCGGUGGAAUGCGCAGAUAUCAGGAGGAACACCGGUGGCGAAGGCGGGUCUCUGGGCAGUAACUGACGCUGAGGAGCGAAAGCGUGGGGAGCGAACAGGAUUAGAUACCCUGGUAGUCCACGCCGUAAACGGUGGGUACUAGGUGUGGGUUUCCUUCCUUGGGAUCCGUGCCGUAGCUAACGCAUUAAGUACCCCGCCUGGGGAGUACGGCCGCAAGGCUAAAACUCAAAGGAAUUGACGGGGGCCCGCACAAGCGGCGGAGCAUGUGGAUUAAUUCGAUGCAACGCGAAGAACCUUACCUGGGUUUGACAUGCACAGGACGCCGGCAGAGAUGUCGGUUCCCUUGUGGCCUGUGUGCAGGUGGUGCAUGGCUGUCGUCAGCUCGUGUCGUGAGAUGUUGGGUUAAGUCCCGCAACGAGCGCAACCCUUGUCUCAUGUUGCCAGCACGUUAUGGUGGGGACUCGUGAGAGACUGCCGGGGUCAACUCGGAGGAAGGUGGGGAUGACGUCAAGUCAUCAUGCCCCUUAUGUCCAGGGCUUCACACAUGCUACAAUGGCCGGUACAAAGGGCUGCGAUGCCGUGAGGUGGAGCGAAUCCUUUUAAAGCCGGUCUCAGUUCGGAUCGGGGUCUGCAACUCGACCCCGUGAAGUCGGAGUCGCUAGUAAUCGCAGAUCAGCAACGCUGCGGUGAAUACGUUCCCGGGCCUUGUACACACCGCCCGUCACGUCAUGAAAGUCGGUAACACCCGAAGCCGGUGGCCUAACCCGUAAGGGAGGGAGCCGUCGAAGGUGGGAUCGGCGAUUGGGACGAAGUCGUAACAAGGUA
RNAcentral lists this ribosomal RNA (1430 nucleotides) under metagenome. Its description in RNAcentral is "bacterial SSU rRNA". It matches the Rfam family "Bacterial small subunit ribosomal RNA". The record is from RNAcentral.